GGUUCAUUCAAAUUUCUGCCCUAUCAACUUUCGACGGCUGGGUCUUGGCUAGCCAUGGUGACAAGGGUAACGGAGGGUUAGGGCUCGACCCCGGAAAAGGAGCCUGAGAAACGGUUACUACAUCCAAGGAAGGCAGCAGGCGCGCAAAUUACCCAAUCCCGACCGGGGAGGUAGUGACAAUAAUUACUGAUACAGGGGCUUUUUGGGUCUUGUAAUUGGAAUGAGUACAAUUUAAAUCCCUUAAGGAGGAACAAUUUGGAGGCAAGUCUGGUGCCAGCAGCCGGGGUAAUUCCAGCUCCAAUAGCGUAUAUUACAGUGGUGAAGGUUAAAAAGCUCGUAGUUG
RNAcentral lists this ribosomal RNA (343 nucleotides) under uncultured fungus. RNAcentral describes it as "SSU rRNA". It matches the Rfam family "Eukaryotic small subunit ribosomal RNA", at positions 292 to 636 of the family's 1831-position model. The record is from RNAcentral. Lineage: Eukaryota; Fungi.